ACGGGAGGCAGCAGUGGGGGAUAUUGCGCAAUGGGGGCAACCCUGACGCAGCAACGCCGCGUGAAGGAUGAAGGUUUUCGGAUUGUAAACUUCUUUUAUUAAGGACGAACAAUGACGGUACUUAAUGAAUAAGCUCCGGCUAACUACGUGCCAGCAGCCGCGGUAAUACGUAGGGAGCAAGCGUUAUCCGGAUUUACUGGGUGUAAAGGGCGUGUAGGCGGGACAUCAAGUCAGAUGUGAAAGCACGAGGCUCAACUUCGUGUCUGCAUUUGAAACUGACGUUCUUGAGUGUUGGAGAGGCUAACGGAACUCCUAGUGUAGCGGUGAAAUGCGUAGAUAUUAGGAAGAACACCAGUGGCGAAGGCGGUUAGCUGGACAAUAACUGACGCUGAGGCGCGAAAGCGUGGGUAGCAAACAGGAUUAGAUACCCUGGUA
RNAcentral lists this ribosomal RNA (435 nucleotides) under uncultured Oscillospiraceae bacterium. Its description in RNAcentral is "bacterial SSU rRNA". It matches the Rfam family "Bacterial small subunit ribosomal RNA", at positions 341 to 792 of the family's 1533-position model. Lineage: Bacteria; Bacillati; Bacillota; Clostridia; Eubacteriales; Oscillospiraceae. The record is from RNAcentral.